Molecule: small RNA, 165 nt
Filed under: Bacillus phage DLc1
Lineage: Duplodnaviria; Heunggongvirae; Uroviricota; Caudoviricetes; Salasmaviridae
Description: pRNA
Source: RNAcentral
AGUAAGACAUAAGGACUUCCAUAUUUUAUUGUAUCUGGAUAUUCCACGGUGAAACGUGCCAGAACAUGGUGGGUACUGAUUAUGCCUUGAAAUACAGUCUUUUAUGAUCUUGCGUUUAUCGUCUUGUGAAAGUACCGAAAGGGAAAUAAGUAGCAAGGCGAUUUU